GCCCUAUUACUUGCUUUGCAGGACAUUUAUUAAAAUUGGGAUGAUACAGAAAUUAGCAUGGCCCCUGCACAGAGAUGACGUACAAAUCUGUGAUGUGUUCUAUAUUUUU
Molecule: small nuclear RNA, 109 nt
Organism: Phyllostomus discolor (pale spear-nosed bat)
Lineage: Eukaryota; Metazoa; Chordata; Mammalia; Chiroptera; Phyllostomidae
Source: RefSeq, a predicted model, not a curated record